ACCCCCAUAGCUCAACGGAGAGAGUGCGGCGCUACGAACGCCGAGGUCGAGGUUCGAUUCCUCGUGGGGGUG
Molecule: transfer RNA, 72 nt
Filed under: Labedaea rhizosphaerae
Lineage: Bacteria; Bacillati; Actinomycetota; Actinomycetes; Pseudonocardiales; Pseudonocardiaceae
Description: Labedella sp. RS-49 tRNA
Rfam family: tRNA
About the family: Transfer RNA (tRNA) molecules are approximately 80 nucleotides in length. Their secondary structure includes four short double-helical elements and three loops (D, anti-codon, and T loops).
Source: Rfam by way of RNAcentral